AAGACCUUGCACUUUUGGAGCGGCCGAUGUCUGAUUAGCUAGUUGGUGGGGUAAUGGCCUACCAAAGCUUCGAUCAGUAGCUGGUCUGAGAGGACGGCCAGCCACACUGGGACUGAGACACGGCCCAGACUCCUACGGGAGGCAGCAGUGGGGAAUUUUGGACAAUGGGCGCAAGCCUGAUCCAGCCAUGCCGCGUGAGUGAAGAAGGCCUUCGGGUUGUAAAGCUCUUUCAGCCGGGAAGAAAAGGUUGCGACUAAUAAUCGCAAUCCAUGACGGUACCGAAAGAAGAAGCACCGGCUAACUACGUGCCAGCAGCCGCGGUAAUACGUAGGGUGCAAGCGUUAAUCGGAAUUACUGGGCGUAAAGCGUGCGCAGGUGGUUUUGUAAGUCAGAUGUGAAGUCCCCGGGCUUAACCUGGGAACU
This 423-nucleotide ribosomal RNA is filed under the name uncultured bacterium. Its description in RNAcentral is "bacterial SSU rRNA". It matches the Rfam family "Bacterial small subunit ribosomal RNA", at positions 207 to 622 of the family's 1533-position model. The record is from RNAcentral.